Molecule: small nuclear RNA, 148 nt
Filed under: Lates calcarifer (barramundi perch)
Lineage: Eukaryota; Metazoa; Chordata; Actinopteri; Centropomidae
Description: U2 spliceosomal RNA (ENSLCAG00010009477.1)
Rfam family: U2 spliceosomal RNA
About the family: U2 is a small nuclear RNA (snRNA) component of the spliceosome (involved in pre-mRNA splicing).
Source: RNAcentral
AUCUGUUCUUAUCAGUUUAAUAUCUGAUACGUCCCCUACCCGGGGACCAUAUAUUAAAUUGAUUUUUGGAUCAGGGAGCCGGAACGGGGGCUUGCUCCUUCCACUCCACGCAUCGACCCCGGUAUUGCAUUACCUCCAGGUACGGUGC